This 1502-nucleotide long non-coding RNA is filed under the name Astyanax mexicanus (Mexican tetra). RNAcentral's name for it is "lncRNA (ENSAMXG00005002821.1)". Lineage: Eukaryota; Metazoa; Chordata; Actinopteri; Characiformes; Acestrorhamphidae. The record is from RNAcentral.
GGAGAAUGGCAUAUGCUUCCGUUGUUGUUCUUCAACCUUCCACCGAGCUAAGGACUGCAAGGCUAUCAUCCACUGCUCUGAAUGCAACAGCGAUAAGCACAUUGCAACCCUUCAUGCUGGCCCUGCAGCAUGGUUGACAAGGCCAGCUAGCGGCCCCUCCGAAGACCAUGGCGGGGAGGGAGAGGAAUCUACUCCUGCUUCAGUCACUACCUCAAUCUGCACAGAGGUCUGUGGAGACAGCGCAACAACCAAGUCAUGUGCCAAAAUCAGUCUGGUCUACGUAUAUCCUAAAGACCAACCUGAGAAGAAGACAAGAGUGUACGCCAUCCUAGAUGACCAGAGUAAUAGAUCACUAGCCAGGUCAUCGUUCUUCGAGAUGUUCAACAUAGCCGACAACACCUCGCCCUACACACUUAAAACUUGUGCAGGUGUGUCCGAGGCUGCCGGCCGCAGAGCCAGAGGGUUUAUCGUGGAGUCGGCUGAUGAAAAGACCAGUCUAGCUCUGCCUACACUCAUCGAGUGUGAUCAACUUCCUGAUAAUAGGGCGGAGAUUCCCACCCCAGCUGCUGUGAUGUACCAUCCACAUCUGAAGUUCCUAACCUCUAAGAUACCUCCUCUUGACCCAAAGGCUGAGGUCUUACUUCUUUUAGGAAGAGACAUGAUUCAGGUGCACAAGGUCCUUGAACAGCGAAAUGGCCCCCCACAUGCUCCUUUUGCCCAGCGAUUAGCCCUCGGCUGGGUGAUAGUAGGGGAUGUGUGUAUUAAUGGUGCACAUGUACCUUCGCCUGUGAACACCUACAGAACCUACAUUCUUGAGAAUGGGCGUCCUAGCAUUCUGUGUCCUUGUCUCAACAAGAUCGAAAUCAAAGAGAAGCUCAACCCCACUUACCAGUUCCAGAAUCCUUCUGUCUUAGAACAACCAUCCUUGCCAAAUGACAAAACGCGACUCAUGGGGAAGUCCAUCUUCUGUCACACAAAGGACGAUGAAAAAACAGCUCCAUCUAUGGAAGAUAUUGCUUUUCUGAGAAUUAUGGAGAAGGAACUGAAACAGGGUGAUGACAACAGCUGGCAGGCUCCACUCCCCUUCCGCAACCCACGCCAGCGUCUGCCAAACAACCGCAAGCAGGCAAGGACCCGUCUCGCUACAGUCACCAGGACACUUAGGAAACACCCGGAGAAGAGAGAGCAUUUCACUGAGUUCAUGAGCAAGCUCUUCGAGAAUGGACAUGCUGAAGUGGCACCACCUUUACGACCAGAUGAGGAGUGCUGGUAUCUACCGUUCUUCGGAGUAUAUCAUCCUCAGAAGCCUGGAAAGGUGAGAGUGGUAUUCGACUCCAGUGCACAACAUCAAGGGGUGUCCCUCAAUGAUGUUCUCCUCACGGGCCCAAACAUGAACAACAGUUUGCUCGGGGUACUGCUGCGGUUUAGGAGGGAGCCAGUGGCAGUGACGACUGACAUCCAGCAGAUGUUCCAUUGUUUUGUCGUACGUGAGGACCAUCGGA